Molecule: ribosomal RNA, 522 nt
Filed under: uncultured bacterium
Lineage: Bacteria
Description: bacterial SSU rRNA
Rfam family: Bacterial small subunit ribosomal RNA
Source: RNAcentral
CAGGACGAACGCUGGCGGCGUGCCUAAUACAUGCAAGUCGAACGGCGUUUCUAUGGAAGCUUGCUCCACUGAGAAGAUAGUGGCGAACGGGGUGAGUAACGACGUGGGUAACCUGCCCAUAAGAGGGGGAUAACAUCCGGAAACGGGUGCUAAUACCGCAUAGUUUUCUUGAUUGCAUGAUUGAGAAAGGAAAGACGGCCUUUGUGCUGUCGCUUAUGGAUGGACCCGCGGCGUAUUAGUUAGUUGGUGAGGUAACGGCUCACCAAGACGAUGAUACGUAGCCGACCUGAGAGGGUGAUCGGCCACAUUGGGACUGAGACACGGCCCAAACUCCUACGGGAGGCAGCAGUAGGGAAUCUUCCGCAAUGGACGAAAGUCUGACGGAGCAACGCCGCGUGAGUGAAGAAAAGGUUUUCGGAUCGUAAAACUCUGUUGUCAGAGAAGAACAAGUUGGAGAGUAACUGCUCCAGCCUUGACGGUAUCUGACCAGAAAGCCACGGCUAACUACGUGCCAGCCGCAGC